This 462-nucleotide ribosomal RNA is filed under the name uncultured bacterium. Its description in RNAcentral is "partial 16S ribosomal RNA". It matches the Rfam family "Bacterial small subunit ribosomal RNA", at positions 28 to 507 of the family's 1533-position model. The record is from RNAcentral.
GACGAACGCUGGCGGCGUGCUUAACACAUGCAAGUCGAGCGGAAAGGCCCUUCGGGGUCCUCGAGCGGCGAACGGGUGAGUAACACGUGAGUAACCUGCCCCAGACUUUGGGAUAACCCUCGGAAACGGGGGCUAAUACCGGAUACGACACAGCUUCGCAUGGGGUCUGUGUGGGAAGUUUUUCGGUUUGGGAUGGGCUCGCGGCCUAUCAGCUUGUUGGUGGGGUGAUGGCCUACCAAGGCGACGACGGGUAGCCGGCCUGAGAGGGCGACCGGCCACACUGGGACUGAGACACGGCCCAGACUCCUACGGGAGGCAGCAGUGGGGAAUAUUGCACAAUGGGCGGAAGCCUGAUGCAGCGACGCCGCGUGAGGGAUGACGGCCUUCGGGUUGUAAACCUCUUUCAGCAGGGACGAAGCGUAAGUGACGGUACCUGCAGAAGAAGCGCCGGCCAACUACGUG